This 639-nucleotide long non-coding RNA is filed under the name Salmo salar (Atlantic salmon). RNAcentral's name for it is "lncRNA (ENSSSAG00000107667.1)". Lineage: Eukaryota; Metazoa; Chordata; Actinopteri; Salmoniformes; Salmonidae. The record is from RNAcentral.
GAAGUGGGUUAGCGUUGAUUGCAUUCGUUUUGGAACUGGGCUGCAUCCCGGGCAUAAGCCAGGUGCCCAGUUUUGGCCGAUGGUGAAGUUGGCUCAAAACAAAAGUGACGUAGGUUAAGCAUGUGGAGUGUCCCUGUUGGCACUGCAAAGUCUACCUGGAUCUGGGCCUCAUUACUAUCCGUACAUGCAGCCUGGUUUGGAGUUGAGUGCAUGGAUUCUAAAUGUGUUGGCCCUUCCUUGGCGCUCGCUCCACACAGCCUUGUGGAGUUGUUAUUCACACACGGGAGCAGAUGUUGUGAAGAGAAAACAGCGUGACAAGAUUGUGAUCGAUGCAUACUGCCCCAUCAAAAUCGCUGCAUAAUUUGGCGGAUGGCAUCAGGAUAACAACCCGCAUUAGCUGGAGACAGCUGUCGCCAUGGCGCCUGGCAGCAGAGUCCUAAAGUUGAGACAAUAUCCACAUCUGGAGAGCACACCAGGAAGACUUUGUCGUGUCUGUGACUAUCAUUAAAUGUGAAGACUGUAUAUUAUCAAAUCAAUUCUCCGUGUGUAAUUUAAUUACGCGAUUAAACUAAUCAUGUAACUUUAAUUAACUUGGAAGUCGGGGCACCACAAUGAUUUUUUUUUAUAGUGUCAAUUUCC